This 1738-nucleotide small RNA is filed under the name Arabidopsis thaliana (thale cress). Its description in RNAcentral is "ATSL194590". The record is from RNAcentral. Lineage: Eukaryota; Viridiplantae; Streptophyta; Magnoliopsida; Brassicales; Brassicaceae.
UUGGUCAAACACCAUGUUUUCAUUCAUUCAAAGAAGAACAAAUACACAUAGAAAGGUUUAAACAAACCAAAGUUUAGAACAAUAGAACAACAAGCAUUCCCCAAUGCCAUAAAAAGAAAAGAGAGGUUCAUCGAUUUUGAAACCAUGAGAGCUAUGCGACAAGGGCUUGGAGGCACAUUGAGACAAGUGAGAUCACGGUGAAUCGAGAGCUCAUCCUCGACAGAAUCGGAGGACGUUAAAGUAGUCAUAGUCGAUAGACAUUUUUGAAGUUGAAGAAGGAAUCAAUGCUAUGCUUCUCAGUGGAGUGAGAUGAGUUACCCAAGACAGUGCAAUAACAAUGAUUUGGGAGACUAUGGUUCUAUAGUCGAAUAAGGAUAGCUUUGAAACCCAAAGCAAAAGGUUUUGAUCUCUUCGGUAAAUCCCAUCAUGAUCUUUGAACCCUAGGAUCUGAAUGAGGGAGAUGGUGGUGAGGUUAAGAUACUUGAGAACGCCAGAAGAGCUGCAUGAUGAAGUGUCGACAUUGACCAAACGUAGCCCAAUACCACAGUUCAUACUCCGACAAAGCCGGUUUGAGAUAAGUAGAUCAAAGUUCUUCAAGAUUUUGGAAGCAAACCACAAGACCCUAAGACUAGCUAAUACCAGGAUUCGUAGAGAAUAUAUGCAAUGCCAAUUCACCAGAGAUGUUACCUCUCUCUCAUGGAGUCCACGACCAUGGAGUAAAGGAAGACGACUCAAGCAUUGAAUUGGGCUUAACAUAAUGGUUUUAAAAACUGACCUGGAGAUAUUAGCCUUAGAAGUUUUGGACAAGGUAAUGGGCUUGGGCUUUCUUUGAGAGAUAAGGCCCAAAAUUGAAACUAGGUCCAAUGGGGAAAACCCUAGUUUCAUUUUGGAGAGCCAAGACGGGAGAGGGGUGCGGCGGUUGUCCGAUGCUGGCGAAGAGAUAUGCGGUGAAUAGAUCAUCUCCGAUGAGAGUAGAAACAGCGGAAACAAACGAUGACCGUAGUCCAAAUAUAAGGCAAAGCUCCAUAGAUGACAAGCCUUUCCGGUGCGAAACUUCAUAUACCCAAAUGAAUGGUCACCGUGCGCCGUCGACGCCUCCUUCAAGCAAGGUGCAACUGACGGUUCAAGCUGGUGUGAGGAUUCUUCAAGGUUGUAAUGAAUUUCCAAAUAAUUGAAGUCCAAACUGAUGGAUUUAGGAAAUAAUCUUCGAUUAAAAUCGGAGGUUUCUGGGCAUAUAGAUCUGUCAAAGAAGCUGAGAUGCAGAGGUAAUAGAAGGGCUUUGUCAAAUCCCUCCUCUUUCCUUCUUCGAUUAAUGGGAGAGAGCGGCCCAGAUCCAAGGUGGGAAGAAACAGAUUGAGUAAAAGUGUUCGAGAUGGGUUAGAUUAAGGAACAAAAGAGGGGAAAAACUUCAAAAGGGGAAAAUUAAAACAGAAAACUAAAGAUGAGAAGAUUUGUCGAAGAAAGAAGAAGAGAAUAGGAUCCCGACGCCGGUGAGAACAAGCUACACUGGCGUCGGAAAAAGGUUGAAGGGGAGCUGCCUCGAUAGUUGUAACUGAGAGAGAAGACGAUGGCUUUGUUGAGGAUUGACUCUCUUAAUUCAAUAUAUAUGUCAAAUAAUUUUAAUAUAAUUUUAAAAUAUGAAAUACACUUGUUAGAUUUAGUAUUUUUUUUGUUAAACACUUAAUUCAAUAAUAUUGUGUUGUGCCUAUUUAUGAAUUUGAAAUUUUUAAAUUUUUUU